Molecule: long non-coding RNA, 452 nt
Filed under: Homo sapiens (human)
Lineage: Eukaryota; Metazoa; Chordata; Mammalia; Primates; Hominidae
Description: HSALNT0054570
Source: RNAcentral
AACCCUUUCCAGGAGCGAGGCAACAACAUUGUCACAUAUGAAUGGGUGAGUCAAGCAGAUCCUUCAGGAACCAUAAACUAUUGCUGAGAAGGGAUGGUGCAAGCCCUGCCUGGGGAAGGGGUAGGGAUGCAUGGCUAGGGUCUCUGUAUGGAAUUAUAAAGGUGGCCAGUGAGCUGCUGCCUUGGAAGGAAAUAAUUUUAUUUCUAGUGAUCUGGCCUUGGACCUGCUCUAAGCUGCCUUGUUUCUCUCUUGCAGGCCAAGGACCUUCUGACUAAUUACCAGACUGGAGUCCUAGAAAACUCUCCCAAGAUGGUACUGCUUUUCCACCUGAUUGAGGAAAGUGUGAAGCUUGGGGACAAGAUCCUUGUGUUUAGGUAGGAUGAGAAACUUCCAUUUGAGGCUGUGUGUCUAUGGUAAAGAAUGACAAAACCACCACAGAGCAAGACCAAGAC